ACACACAUACACACACACACACACACACAUAUAUAUAUAUAUAUAUAUAUAUAUAUAUAUAUAUAUAUGUGUGUGUGUGUGUGUGUGUGUGUGU
This 94-nucleotide microRNA precursor is filed under the name Olea europaea subsp. europaea. The record is from RNAcentral. Lineage: Eukaryota; Viridiplantae; Streptophyta; Magnoliopsida; Lamiales; Oleaceae.